Molecule: ribosomal RNA, 169 nt
Filed under: uncultured bacterium
Lineage: Bacteria
Description: partial 16S ribosomal RNA
Rfam family: Bacterial small subunit ribosomal RNA
Source: RNAcentral
CCUACGGGAGGCAGCAGUGGGGAAUCUUGCGCAAUGGGCGAAAGCCUGACGCAGCGACGCCGCGUGGGUGAUGAAGGCCUUCGGGUUGUAAAGCCCUGUGGAGGGGGAAGAAUAAGGGUAGUUUAAUACGCUAUCCGAUGACGGUACCCCUUUAGCAAGCACCGGCUAA